UGAUGAACUCUGGGUCCUGCGCGGCAGAACACUAUGAACUCCGUCAGGUCCGGGAGGACGCAGCGGUAAAUAGCAGUUUCUGGGUGCCGUGGGAACACCUGGAGGGAGCUGAUGCCAGGAUUGCGCCGGCAGGAGCAGAUCGACGGCAGGUGCACGG
This 157-nucleotide signal recognition particle RNA is filed under the name Dehalococcoidia bacterium. RNAcentral describes it as "partial signal recognition particle sRNA large type". It matches the Rfam family "Bacterial large signal recognition particle RNA", at positions 105 to 256 of the family's 256-position model. From Rfam's summary of the family: The signal recognition particle (SRP) is a universally conserved ribonucleoprotein involved in the co-translational targeting of proteins to membranes. Archaeal SRP consists of a 7S RNA and homologues of the eukaryotic SRP19 and SRP54 proteins. Lineage: Bacteria; Bacillati; Chloroflexota; Dehalococcoidia. The record is from RNAcentral.